GCUUCUUUUAACAACAGAUGUUAUUACAACAGCUCUGCCUGCCUCCCUGCUCCUGUCAGCACAUCUGAUGGUGAAACCCAAGCGUCUGCAGCUGUAACUCUGCCUGCAGAGCCUGGCUGUUGCCCCAGCCCUGUGGCCACCCCUAACUCUCUCCCUAGGAGCACCAAUGCCUCCCACCUUUGGUGCCUGUAACUAGCUUGUGCUGGGAGACACUGGUUGCAGAGAGGCUUUGGUUAAAGGAGGCAGAGAAGGUGUGAAUGAGCCCAGAGGAAGGCGAGCUCCUGCUGUCAGAGGAGGAGGUGGUGAGGAUGGCCAGCAACUCCAGUGCGCUGCCGCGGGUGACCUUCCAGACGCCAGAGAAACCUGGGGAGGAAUCAUCACACAGGAAACUGGGCAAGCUGACCAUAAAGUACAACCGCAAAGACCUACAGCGCUGGCUAGACCUGGAGGAAUGGAUCAACGCCCAGCUGCAGGAGCUCUACCAAUGCCGGCUAAGGGAGGAAACAGAGGCAGCAGCUCCUGAACCACAAAUAGAUCUUGAAGAUCUCCUGGAGGUCCCUAAUGAAGAACAGAAAUUAAAACUACAGGAAAUCCUCCAUGAGUGCUCCAGCCCCACAGAGGACUUCAUUACAGAAUUGCUCAGUCGAUUGAGAGGUCUCCGGAGAGUCACCAAUCCUCAGAAGAAAUGACCUUGCUCACAUGGAACACCCAGCUUUGGUUAAAAGGAAGCGUGUAUCUUCCUCAGAAAAACCAGGAUCAGCAACAGAACUCCUGAGUACAGUUAGGAUUUAUUAUUGUUGAGAAACAUCACUAAGUUUGUGAACUUUGUACCAGUGGUUUGAAGUCUCCACUCCUUCCAGAUCUACACACACAGCAGGGAGCUAGACUGUAGCUGAUUUUCCUGAUUGUUAAAGAGUGUGUUAACCUGAGGAACAGGAGAAGAUGUCCCUCUCCUUUAGAUUCUUCUAGGAAUAUCCAUGCUGGCCAAGGAGCACUGAAUACAAUUCUCAGGAGCUCAUCAAGACUUCUUUUCUUCGUCCACUGCAAGGAAAACAAGGCAUUGGUUAUCACUCAUUCAUCAGCAUGGAAAAUCAGCCAUUGUUAAGUUGCAAUCAUUUCAGUCUGGCUUGGACCCAACUGUGAUCUGCCUGUUACCGCUGUACCUGACUCUACAGCAUUGCACGUACUUUAUAUUAAAGAAAAACUGAAGUAAAAAAAAUACCUGCUCCCGACUUCCCUUCAGGGAACAUCUCAGAGUUUUUGCAGACAGGUGUCAGUGAACAAACUGUGGGUUGUGUCCUCUGAGAGGACAAAAUCCAAGCUGCAGUAACAACUGUGAUGUAAGGGCCUGUUUCCUUUCACAUGCUGUUGUUGUAUCUGACUGGAAGUUGACCAGCCAUGGACCUCAUGCCUUGUUCUAAGGCUACUCCGAGAACGUUCUAAGCCUCACCCACUAGGCCGGAGAAAUGGUCUUCCUUUAUCAGGUCCAAUAUCUAUCUGUGGGAGUCCUGGGAAUGUGGCAUUUUUGGCUUAGGGGCUAGUGGGCCAUGCCUAUCCUCAUGAAAUCUCAACUUUAUAAGUAAAAUUAAAAAAACCAAAAACAACCACACACAAAAAACCAAACAACCAACCAAAACCCCCCCAAAAAACCCAAAACAAACAAACAAACAAACCAAAACAAAAAAAAGCCCACAAUAAAAACCCCCAACAAAACAAAAAAUUAAAUCUAGAGCCACAGUGGUUGCAGAUCUGGGAUUGCUUAUGGAUGACACCUGCUAAGACUCAUGUAACAAACCCCUUGAGAAAGUAGAGCAGUAUAUUGACAAAAACCUCUAAGCACUGUUAAAAACAGCCUGGCAUCAAACAGAAGUUCAGGUGGAAGUUCUAGGUGGACCGGUCAUGAAGCAGAGUGCCCUAAACUAGAGAUGCAAUUAGCUACACAACAGUAGUACAGGAGUUCAGAUUACUUACAAUACCCCACCAACAGGCUUAGUUUUAUUCUGCUGAGCUGCCACAGCACAAAGACAUGCAUCUCCUCUGGUCCAAGAGACAUAUUUUCUCCCCCUUAGCCAUUGGUCUGUGUUUCCUCAAUAUGGAGUGAUGCAAAAAGAAUUUCUGUCUGUAUUUUAAGGUAGACAUUGUUAGAAACCAAAGUCAAAGCAGGAUCUGAAGACUUUGCUUGACUGAAGUUGUCUUUAUGCUUAUCCUGCAAGUAGUAGGAAAGGAGUAACCUGCAGACCCCAUCAUGUGCAGUUGGUUCUAAUACAUAGGGAAUUCUGAUACAUAAUGAUACAUGAGAGCACUUCAGCUGAGCACAGUGAGAUCAGGGGAGCAAGGCGACAUGUGGCCAGUGGUAGAGCAUUUCUCAGCUCACUGGUGCAAAAGAAAAUGUAAGGCAACCAGAGUAACUUCUUUUUUUCUUUCUUAAACAGUAGUAAAUCAUACUUGGUUUGACUUAUAUUUUAACUUUGCUGUUUCUCAGCACCAUCACCUGCCUAAGUAUGUAGAUACUAUCUAAGAAUGUUGCUUGAAAGGAACUUUGCCCUCUUGAUCAUACCAAGAUAACUCAAGGUAUUAAAAUCCAUCAGCUUUUCUAGUUUGAGUUCCUGUUGGAGUGGAGACUACAUUUGACAAUUCACACACAAAACAUUUUGAGAGGGAAAGAAAAUCUCAUUUUCUCUCAUGACUUGCUACAAAGACAAAAGCAAACAAGUUGAAUCUCUUUCUGAAGAUGCCGAGCUGUUUUCUGUCCUUGAACAGCUAUGACUGAAGUUGAUCUGGCCUGUCAGGAAUUGACUGAUUAUCAGUAUCUUUGUUUACCAGCACCUUUUCAAAGACAAGGAUAGGGAGUAAGCAACACAGCUAACAGUGCACUGCCCACUUGAAGGUGAUGCAGCAUUCCUCUUUCACAAUACAGAUUCAGCUAGGUGUGCUUCCUGCAGGCAGCCCAUCUGGAUACCCCUCUGCCCCUCCUACAGGGAGCUCACUGAGGCAACAGCUACAGCGGGAAUGGCUUCUCAGGGGAAAGUGAUUGGGCUACUACUAAAAUGGCCCAUUACAUGCAGAAAGUGCAGCAGCCACAAAAAUGUCCAUUAGUGGUGCAGGGAAAGCAGCAGUAUGUGUCGCUAUGACUGAAGAGACUCUUCCAUGCAUGACUAAGUUCUAUUUCAGGUAAUGGGUUGGGUGCAUUUCUGGAUUCCUUGGGAUGGCCCCACAGAAACCAACCUGGGAAUCUAAAUAAACUGCUUCUGGCUGCAGCCUGCUCCAUCACUACUGAUGUGAACAGGGCAGCGCUUACAAGACAGAGGCUGCCUAACUGCAAAGGGGCUCCAAGUUUUGUUGUGGCUGAUGAAGCAUUCAAAAUGUGGCAAGUAUCAUGCCAGAUCAUACUAAGAUAUUAAAAAAACCAGCAGCUGUAAACCAAGUAAUAAAAUUACUACUAACUGCUUGGAGAAGAUACAGGCUGAAGCCCAAAGGAGUGGAUCAAUGCAGGAGAGAAAUAAUAAUAGAUAGUUGCACCUUCCCCUGCAUAUGUAAAACAUGAAGGAUUUAACCUCGGACAGAACCAGGCCGUCUUACUAUCAGACUAAUCACCCAUGUCAAAUAGCAAUGAAAAAGUGUCACUCCUAUGAUAACAUAAAGAAAGAAGCAUUUUGGUUUUGUUUUUAAAACUGCAAGCUCCUCAGGGCGGUAACUUACUUAAAUUUUGUGUAACACAGGGUUACUUGUGAACUCUUGCAUCAGAACAACUCAAGUAGUUUUCCCAUCUACCUGUCCUAAGGAGACAGGAACUGGUGAAGCAAGGGCUGCCAGGAGAAAGAAGAUCCUCCACACAAGUCAGGUUCUUCCCGCACUUCCUAAGAAAAGGUUUUGAUGGCACUGCUGGAUACACUUGCCAUUUUUUUGUGUUAACCUAAAGUAUUACUAUUCUACAUUGUUUGAAUCAGGUUUCUGUUGAAGAGCCUGAUCCAGAGCAGCAUUAGCAGAAACCCAUCUUGAACAGUGGUUUAAUUCAUUUGCUGUCCUCUGACCAGAGGUGCGGGUAAACACCGUUUCAUCACUUCACCUUGGAGGCACUGACCUUAAGCACGGGGGCAAGGCAGACAGCUGGGAGUGGCAGUGUCAAACCAGACAGGCAAGAUUCAUUGGAAAUUCCCUGACAAGGGCAAAUCCUUUAUUUUGUUGCAAUUGGAAUUUGUCAGCCUUAGAGAGCCCUCUCAGAAGUCACACGAUUUGGAAAGAGCUCAUCCUGAUGGAAUACUAGAGUCUAUUUACAGCUGAUUUAGUUGGGUAUUUGAAGCAAUUCUGAGUGUUCUGGGCGCUGGCAAGUGUCCCUUGCAUCUGGAUUGUCUCCCAGGAGGGAUAUGGACAUAUGCAACUGAGCUUCUCUGAUAACCAGAGAAAAGAGCAUCACACAGGUAACAUCUUUAUCCUACCAGGGGACGAAGUAAUAAACAAAGUCAAAUCCUGCUUUCAGACUAACACGUUGCUCAUACAGAUGACAUGACCUUGGCACAGCCACUGCAGGCCACAACACUGUAUCAGGAGCAGAUUACCUUUUCAAAGGAUCCUUCCUUUCACGUCAGUGAGCAACACUGCCCUGCAUCUUUUCCAGUCAUGCCAC
Molecule: RNA transcript, 4624 nt
Organism: Prinia subflava (tawny-flanked prinia)
Lineage: Eukaryota; Metazoa; Chordata; Aves; Passeriformes; Cisticolidae
Gene: PPP1R14D
Gene name: protein phosphatase 1 regulatory inhibitor subunit 14D
Exons: 6
Source: RefSeq, a predicted model, not a curated record